AGAGUUUGAUCCUGGCUCAGAAUGAACGCUGGCGGCGUGCCUAACACAUGCAAGUCGGAUGUGCCGCAAGGUGCAUGGCAGACGGGUGAGUAACGCGUGGGCAAUCUACCUUUUAGUGGGGAAUAACGAUCCGAAAGGAUUGGUAAUACCGCAUGUGAUCAUCGACUGGGAUGUUGGUGAUGAAAGCCGGGGACCGCAAGGCCUGGCGCUAGGAGAGGAGCCCGCGUCUGAUUAGUUAGUUGGUGGGGUAACGGCCUACCAAGACAUCGAUCAGUAGCCGGCCUGAGAGGGUGAUCGGCCACACUGGAACUGAGACACGGUCCAGACUCCUACGGGAGGCAGCAGUGGGGAAUUUUGCGCAAUGGACGAAAGUCUGACGCAGCAACGCCGCGUGGGUGAUGAAGGUCUUCGGAUCGUAAAACCCUGUCGUCGGGGACGAAGGUGGGCUUGUUAAUAGCGAGUUUACUUGACGGUACCCGGAGAGGAAGCCCCGGCUAACUCUGUGCCAGCAGCCGCGGUAAUACAGAGGGGGCAAGCGUUAUUCGGAAUUAUUGGGCGUAAAGGGUGCGUAGGCGGUCGUUUAAGUAGGAUGUGUAAUCCCCGGGCUCAACCUGGGAACUGCAUUUGUGACUGUAUAGCUAGAGUACGGUAGAGGGGGAUGGAAUUCCGCGUGUAGCAGUGAAAUGCGUAGAUAUGCGGAGGAACACCGAUGGCGAAGGCAAUCCCCUGGACCUGUACUGACGCUCAUGCACGAAAGCGUGGGGAGCAAACAGGAUUAGAUACCCUGGUAGUCC
This 794-nucleotide ribosomal RNA is filed under the name uncultured bacterium. Its description in RNAcentral is "bacterial SSU rRNA". It matches the Rfam family "Bacterial small subunit ribosomal RNA", at positions 8 to 796 of the family's 1533-position model. The record is from RNAcentral.